RNAcentral lists this long non-coding RNA (252 nucleotides) under Medicago truncatula (barrel medic). Its description in RNAcentral is "long non-coding RNA (MTRU_LNC004880)". Lineage: Eukaryota; Viridiplantae; Streptophyta; Magnoliopsida; Fabales; Fabaceae. The record is from RNAcentral.
UUUACUAUCUUGAUGGUUGAGUGUGGUUUGGUUAGGAUUAAGAUGUUUGGGAAAUUUUUUACAUUGUUUUUGUAAAUGAGUUGCUAAAUUGGUGGUUCCAUCUUUGUGUGAAUCGGCAGCAUAAGAUACAUUUUCACACCACUUACACUCAGCCCGACCAUUUUCUUUUGUAAAAUGCUCCCAAACCUAAGAUUUAGGCCUACAAGGUUUUCCUUUAUCUGGAUCUCCAGCAUUAGGAUCAUCAACAUUAGA